GUCGAAUUUCUAAAGAAAGAAAACACCAUUUUUGAGCUCUCAUGCAUUCGGCACUUCUAUCUUUGAUCAAGAUCAAGAAAGGAAGAAAUCAGAAUUGGAUCGGGGGAAGUCGAAAGUUAUUGAAUAGUCGUUCCGGUCCGUUCGUGUCCAUACGAGAUUUAGUGAUCUCGAAUCACCAUUCCGACAUCACUGAAAAUUCAGGCCAUUACAAGUAUCCUUAUUGAUUUCGAAUGGUUCAACAGGUAAUAUUGAGAAAUGGAUGACUAUGUGAAAGUAUAUCCGAUUCAGGUACAUACGAAGUGUAUAUGUUAUUCAAAAAUUGAAAGGUGAGUAUGUUUAAAAUGACGAUAUGUGAAAUAUAUGAUAAUGAAUGAAAUGAAUGUAUACAAAUGAACGUUGUGUUACAUAUGCUCAUUAUAUGAAAUUGUUGUCAUAUGUUCGAACAUGGGAAUUAUGAAACAUGAAACAUGGUGUUGAGGUAUGCUAAUUUGGUUUGAAAUUUGGAUUAGAUAAUUGAUAUCGAGAUGGUGGUGUUAUGAUGCAUGGUUAGCAUAUAUGUGAAAUGGCUAGUAAAGCAUGACUUGUUCUGGUUGGUUAUGUAAUU
Gossypium raimondii (Peruvian cotton) is the source of this 604-nucleotide long non-coding RNA. RefSeq lists it as uncharacterized. Lineage: Eukaryota; Viridiplantae; Streptophyta; Magnoliopsida; Malvales; Malvaceae. The record is from RefSeq and is a predicted model, not a curated record. The transcript is spliced from 3 exons.